UACGUAGGGCGCAAGCGUUGUCCGGAAUUAUUGGGCGUAAAGAGCUCGUAGGCGGUCUGUCGCGUCCGUUGUGAAAACUCGAGGCUCAACCUCGGGCUUGCAGUGGAUACGGGCAGACUAGAGUGCGGUAGGGGAGACUGGAAUUCCUGGUGUAGCGGUGAAAUGCGCAGAUAUCAGGAGGAACACCGGUGGCGAAGGCGGUUCUCUGGGCAUUACCUGACGCUGAGGAGCGAAAGCGUGGGGAGCGAACCGG
RNAcentral lists this ribosomal RNA (253 nucleotides) under uncultured bacterium. Its description in RNAcentral is "partial 16S ribosomal RNA". It matches the Rfam family "Bacterial small subunit ribosomal RNA", at positions 524 to 776 of the family's 1533-position model. The record is from RNAcentral.